Clarias gariepinus (North African catfish) is the source of this 1699-nucleotide long non-coding RNA. RefSeq lists it as uncharacterized. The record is from RefSeq and is a predicted model, not a curated record. The transcript is spliced from 2 exons. Lineage: Eukaryota; Metazoa; Chordata; Actinopteri; Siluriformes; Clariidae.
UGUGUUUUGGUGGGAAGCCUAUUUCUAGAAGGGAGUCAGGCAGCCCAACAGACAAAGGACAAGUAUGGUGCCGUGAACAGAAUAGUAGGACAAAAACCAUCGAGCUGAAUGUGGUCGAGUGAGAACCCGUUUGUGCCAAGACACCAUCUACCACACUUCCAUCGCGGCAGAUAAUUUGCCACUUUGAAAGAGUAGAUUGCGUUAAACUCAAGUGUUGUACUUAUGUGGCUAUUGGAGUAACAGACCGGGGCACAAGACCAGCAAACCACAGAAGAAAGAGAAACGCAAAAACAGAUGUGAACAGCGUUGUGACCACCUUUAUGGACUUGCAAAAGAAACAGUUUAUGUUUCCUGUGAGCAAAGCAGGCAAAAGCAAGAUGUUGACGCAGAUGAUAGACAGACCUUUUAAUUUCAUGGUGCCAUUGCCGCCUUUUCCGCAUCACACACCCUCGCGCCUACAACUCCUUCUCGCUACUACCAGGGGUCUCCACGAACUACACUUCUCAUGAAAUACUCAAAAUCUUUAAACAACCUCCCAGUGCUGGAGCCUCGCUCUCCCUGCUCACUACUGUAUUUGCACCCUGCGCAGGAACCAAAUCCAUCCCCAUCCUAUCACAACCUCUAGAAAACAUUGUUGCUUCUGUUAAAAUUACCUCCAUGUAACUUAAGUAAUGUUUGCAUUUUAAAUUCUAUUGCAUACUGUUUACCUCUUAUAUUCUAUUUUUGUAAAUAUUUAUUGUUAAAAAGAAGAAUAUUGUUUUUCUAUUCAUUAUGUUCAAUUGUUUUUAAAUAUCACUCCUGCAUUUGUUAUAUACACAAUAACAAAUUUAAAAACAAAAUAAAAACAAAACUAAAAAAAACAAAAUAGUAAAUUCAAAACCAAAAUAACAAAACCAAAUACAGUAUAACAAAUCAAAAUCCACAGGAAGUACUGCAGCCACACGGAAUAUACGUCUAAAUGUCCGUGUGGCUGCAGUACUUCCUGUAUAUUUUGAGUGACAGAUGUCUCGUCCAAUCAUCGGUAAGAAUCAACAAGCCAAAAAAGGUAGGUGUGGUUUGCGAAUGACAUUCUUACCGCUGAUUGGACAAGACAUAUGUCACUUAAAAUAUACAAGUACUGCAGCCACACGGACAUUUAGAUGUAUUUUCAUUUAAGGAUCUAUUUCAGUAUUUUGUGAUUAUAUAUUACUUUUGUCAACUACGUUGUUUUAAAUGUGCUUUAAAAAUUAUUUUGACUUUACUUGAUAGUGCUGGUUGUAUGUCUUGAGUGAAAGAUGUCUCAUCCAAUCAGCGAUAAGAAUUUCAUUCGCAAACUAUACCUAUCUUUUCCGGUUUGACAAAAUUGUUAUGUUUUCUCAUUUGGUAUUUUGUAUGUGGAUAUGUCGUUUUGUUUUCGGUUUUGUUAUUUUGUUUUCUGUCUUGUUAUUGUUUUCAUUUUUGUUAUUUUGUUUUGCACUUCUCGGCCACCGUAAUGCAGGCAUCCCCGGUCACAUGGAAGAUCCAGGAGCCACCUGUAUGCUGGAGGCUUCUGUAUCUCCUGGGAGGCAUAGGAUGUCUGUGUAUAGUGAUUUCUACUGUAAUACUGUAUGCUGCAUAUUUGUUCAUUUUUACAUUUUUAUUGUAUUUGGCAUUCCUUUUCUAUUAGAACUCUUGCACAAGGAUAUUUUGCUUAAAUAAUAAGACCUUUUGCACUCUUUAA